UACAUGGGGUGCAAACGUUGCUCGGAAUUAUUGGGCGUAAAGCGCACGUAGGCGGUUCAUUAAGUCGGAUGUGAAAGCCCUCGGCUCAACUGAGGAAGUGCACCCGAAACUGGCGAGCUUGAGUACGAAAGAGGAUCGCGGAAUUCCCGGUGUAGAGGUGAAAUUCGUAGAUAUCGGGAGGAACACCGGUGGCGAAGGCGGCGAUCUGGGUCGAUACUGACGCUGAGGUGCGAAAGCGUGGGGAGCAAACAGG
RNAcentral lists this ribosomal RNA (253 nucleotides) under uncultured bacterium. Its description in RNAcentral is "partial 16S ribosomal RNA". It matches the Rfam family "Bacterial small subunit ribosomal RNA", at positions 524 to 776 of the family's 1533-position model. The record is from RNAcentral.